CGACGAAGGCGGUAAUGCAACCCUAAUGCAUAGAUAGCUGACAUCAACUUCCGUCAGGCAGCUCCUGGAGAUCGAACCUUUCGAUUGUAACUGGGACAAUUUGCAUAGUGAUUCCCUUUCAGAGCUUUCCCGGGUCCAUAACAAGCCCAGGCAGCUAUUCAAAUGCAAGUUGCAUCCCCAAAUGCGAGGCUGGCCUGACCAAAAAGAGCCACUCGGCGCCCGGAAGAGGCGAGACUCGCGCUCGGGUUCUCAAUCCUUCUCUUUUCUCCUUUCUUUUUCCCUUUCUCCUCUCCGGUUCCUGAUUUAGCUGGGAGCUGUUUAUUUAUGGCUGCAAAUGUGUGUGUUCAAGAGAGAGAGGGAAUUGAUCUUUGCCUGGACUUAAAGAUGGAGCCGAAGAAGCUGGAGGGAAUUUGGGCUUGUGCGUCUGGCCCAGACCCUGUGCGCCGAGCCCGAGGUCUAUCCUCCCCGCACCUCUCACCUCGCGACCUUGCAGGAAUCCGCGGGCCCGGAUGCUGCCCAGCUGACCCUCCUGCCCCGGGCCCGGCUGCAGAGAAAGUCUUCGAGCAGGAGGCCAGCCUGUUCCUGUCUUUAAAAUGAGCACAAUAAAAGGGGGCAAAUCCUCGAACGCGAACCUGAUCUCAUGUCACAGAAGCAACUUGCCAUGAAAUCCGCUAAUGCGCUGCGACUCGCCCACCAGGGUAAGCCAGUCUCACAAGCGUUUGGGCGGGGGUGGUG
This 735-nucleotide long non-coding RNA is filed under the name Pan troglodytes (chimpanzee). Its description in RNAcentral is "long non-coding RNA NONPTRT005644". The record is from RNAcentral. Lineage: Eukaryota; Metazoa; Chordata; Mammalia; Primates; Hominidae.